AGCCCCGGAGCCUUUUAGGGCUCUUCUUCAAAUUUGCAUUUUGACGUAGAACACCGCAGGGCU
Molecule: transfer RNA, 63 nt
Filed under: Anolis princeps
Lineage: Eukaryota; Metazoa; Chordata; Lepidosauria; Squamata; Anolidae
Description: tRNA-Cys
Source: RNAcentral